This 534-nucleotide ribosomal RNA is filed under the name uncultured archaeon. RNAcentral's name for it is "bacterial SSU rRNA". It matches the Rfam family "Archaeal small subunit ribosomal RNA", at positions 326 to 861 of the family's 1478-position model. The record is from RNAcentral.
CGGGGUGCAGCAGGCGCGAAAACUCUACAAUGCAGGCAACUGCGAUAGGGGAACAUCGAGUGAUACUCAUCUUGGGUGUCUGUCCUCCCGUCUAAAAAACGGGAGUUAGCAAGGGCCGGGCAAGACCGGUGCCAGCCGCCGCGGUAAUACCGGCGGCUCGAGUGGUGGCCGAUAUUAUUGAGUCUAAAGGGUCCGUAGCCGGCUUUGCAAGUUUUUCGGGAAAUCUAGCGGAUUAACCGUUGGUUGUCCGGGAGAUACUACAAAGCCUGUGAGUGUGAGACGUUGGAGGUAUUCAGGGGGUAGGAAUGAAAUCCUGUAAUCCUCAGGGGACCACCGGUGGAGAAGGUGUCAUACCAGAACAGGUCCGACGGUGAGGGAAGAAAGCUAGGGGCACGAACCGGAUUAGAUACCCGGGUAGUCCUAGCCGUAAACGAUGCUCGCUAGGUGUCACAACAAUCGUGAACGUUGUGGUGCCGUAGGGAACCCGUGAAGCGAGCCACUUGGGAAGUACGACCGCAAGGUUGAAACUUAAAG